GCAGGGCUUCAACAAUAGACAUUUGUUAAUAUUUCUUCUGAAAGUUGGGAAGUCCAAGAUUGAGGUGCUGGCAGAUUCUGUGUCUAGUGAGGGCCACUUUCUGGCUCGUAGACAACCAUCUUCUCCUUGUGUCCUCACAUGGCAAAAGGAAAGAACUCUGACCAUUUCAGAGUUCUGUGUAAAAGCACUAAUCCCAUUCAUGAAGACUCCACUAUCAUGAUGUAAUUACUUUUCAAAGGCCCUGCCUCCUUAUACCAUCACACUGGGGGGUUAGGGUUGCAGCAUAUGAAUUGGAAACUAGGGAACACAUUUUGUCUAUGGUACUAACCCACAUCCAAUUCAUGAGCAAAUCCAUAGGCUCCACCUUCAACAUUUAUUCAGAAGUUAACUUUGAUCACCACCUCCACAGCCACCAUCUUAGUCCAGGACAUCAUCAUCUCUUACUUGGAUUAUUGCAGUAGCUUAACUUGUCCCCCUGACUGUGCCAUUUCUAAGGCAGUCUGUCCUCAACCCAGCAGCUCUUCUGUCAGUUUGCCAGGACUUAGACUUCUAUGAAUCCAUGAAUGUGGGCUGGCUCUGCGAACACUGCUGUGAAGGCUACAUUUUUUUGCGGACCACCUAGGCACAGUUCUGGAGGCGAGCAAGUCCAAGAUCAAAGCACUGGCAGCUUCUUUGAGGGUCUGUUCCAGUAAAAGCAUCUUCUUGCAACAACAUCCUC
Long non-coding RNA from Homo sapiens (human), 718 nucleotides. RefSeq lists it as uncharacterized. The record is from RefSeq and is a predicted model, not a curated record. NCBI's taxonomy places the organism in Eukaryota, Metazoa, Chordata, Mammalia, Primates, Hominidae. The transcript has 3 exons.